This 843-nucleotide ribosomal RNA is filed under the name Triticum aestivum (bread wheat). RNAcentral's name for it is "partial small subunit ribosomal RNA". The record is from RNAcentral. Lineage: Eukaryota; Viridiplantae; Streptophyta; Magnoliopsida; Poales; Poaceae.
AUGUCACUCAAGGAUAAGGAAGAGCUCCACAACAAGUCAAGUGGUGCCUACAAAGCCUCAUGUGAUGCCCCCACAUCAUCAAAUGAGAAGCAAACCUUCAAUGAAGAAUUGAGCCCAAUGGUGAAGAAUUUCAACAAGUUCUACAAGAGUAGAAGCAAGGAAAGAAGUUCCAAGUCAAGGUCCUACAAUGACAAAAGAUCUUCUAGUCGUGAGCAUAACUGCUACAAUUGUGGAAGACCCGGACACUAUUCAAAUGAGUGCACGGCUCCUUACAAAAGAAGAGAAGAUUCUCUCAAAAGAAGAAGUAGGAUAGAAGAAUCAUCGGCAAGAGAGAGAAGGAGUAGAGAUGAUCGUUAUGAACGAAGACCCUCUCGGAGGAGCAAGGAUUCGGAUAGGAAGGACAGAUCAUCAAAUAGCUACACAAAAAGAAGACAUCAAGCUCAUGUUGGUGAAUGGGUAUCCGGCUCCGACUCCGACAAUCACUCCGGAAGAAGAUAUCACUCUGACUCUGAAUAUAUUCAAGAUGAAGGUGUUGCAGGUCUAGCACUUGUGUCAACCGACUCUUACGACAUGUUUGACUCACCAAAUGAAGGAAUUGGAAGAUGCUUCAUGGCUAAAGGUCCAAAGGUAACACGCCCCGAGUAUGUUGAUUUCAAUAGUGAUGAAGAUGAUUUGCUAGGAGAUGAUGAUUUACUUGUUGACAACUCUAGUUAUGAGAACUAUGAUGAACUUGCUAUUAAUCAAGAUAAAACGAAUGACGAUGAUAAGAAUAAGAUUGAGCGUCUAACUAAAGAACUAAACACUCUUAAGUUAGCUAAUGAAACUACAUUGGAAGAUCAUUGA